CAGUCGCCGCGGUAAUACGUAGGUGGCAAGCGUUGUCCGGAAUUAUUGGGCGUAAAGGGCUCGCAGGCGGUUUCUUAAGUCUGAUGUGAAAGCCCCCGGCUCAACCGGGGAGGGUCAUUGGAAACUGGGAAACUUGAGUGCAGAAGAGGAGAGUGGAAUUCCACGUGUAGCGGUGAAAUGCGUAGAGAUGUGGAGGAACACCAGUGGCGAAGGCGACUCUCUGGUCUGUAACUGACGCUGAGGAGCGAAAGCGUGGGGAGCGAACAGGAUUAGAUACCCCAGUAGUCCCUGUCUCUUAUCA
Molecule: ribosomal RNA, 301 nt
Filed under: uncultured bacterium
Lineage: Bacteria
Description: partial 16S ribosomal RNA
Rfam family: Bacterial small subunit ribosomal RNA
Source: RNAcentral